CCCCUAGAUGUUCUGGGCCGCACGCGCGCUACACUGAACAGUUCAACAAGUCUUAACCUUGGCCGAUAGGUCUGGGUAAUCUUUGAACGCUGUUCGUGAUUGGGAUAGACCUUUGCCAUUAUGGGUCUUCAACGAGGAAUUCCUAGUAAACGCAAGUCAUCAGCUUGCAUUGAUUACGUCCCUGCCCUUUGUACACACCGCCCGUCGCACCUACCGAUUGAAUGGUCCGGUGAAAUCUCGGGACGGCGGCUUGGUCGCUUGCGUCCGACUGCUGAAACUUGAUUAAACCAUAUCAUUUAGAGGAAGGUGAAGUCGUAACA
This 320-nucleotide ribosomal RNA is filed under the name uncultured eukaryote. RNAcentral's name for it is "partial 18S ribosomal RNA". It matches the Rfam family "Eukaryotic small subunit ribosomal RNA", at positions 1470 to 1796 of the family's 1831-position model. The record is from RNAcentral.